This 346-nucleotide unclassified non-coding RNA is filed under the name Hevea brasiliensis (rubber tree). The record is from RNAcentral. Lineage: Eukaryota; Viridiplantae; Streptophyta; Magnoliopsida; Malpighiales; Euphorbiaceae.
UUCAGCACCAUGUACAAAAUCCCUUAACAUUGUGAAAUGUUAAUACGUAGCAGGAAAAGGCAUUUACUUUAGGAAUGCCAAAGAUAACCUUCCAUUGCGCAUCUCUACUCAAACAUGUUCCAGUUACUAGUUCCAUUAUCAAUGCACAAAUAGUGAAAUGGCUUAUGCACAUCUAUUGCAAUGGAAAAUUAAAUGGAACAUCUUUGAUUGGAGAUGCCCAGGCUUUCAGAAGUUUGCCAAUGUACCAGGGCAGGUUGUAAAUGAGGUUUAUAUUUUUGUAUUUUAACAUUAUAGAAAGCCAAAAGAAGGGACAGGAUAAUUAUUCAUACUAACCACAAAAGCCUUG